AACUUUUAACAAUGGAUCUCUUGGCUCUCGCAUCGAUGAAGAAAGCAGCGAAAUGCGAUAAGUAAUGUGAAUUGCAGAAUUCAGUGAAUCAUCGAAUCUUUGAACGCACCUUGCACCCUUUGGUAUUCCGAAGGGUAUGCUCGUUUGAGUGUCAUUGUACUCUCACACUCUCUGAUCCUUUGGAUUCAGGGAGCGGUGGACUUGGGUGUUUGCUGCUUUCCUAGUGGCUCACCUCAAAUGCGUCAGUGCACCUCUUGGUUGGACAUAGUACGGCGUGAUAAGUAUCUUCGCCGGCACCUCGCGAGAGGGUGGCUGAUCGGGAGCUCUGUGCUUUCAAACCGUCUUCGGACAAUCUCUGACAACUUGACCUCAAAUCGAGUAGGACUACCCGCUGAACUUAAGCAUAUCAAUAAGCGGAGGCU
RNAcentral lists this unclassified non-coding RNA (422 nucleotides) under uncultured Sebacinaceae. RNAcentral describes it as "sequence contains ITS2". The stretch from base 1 to 154 matches the Rfam family "5.8S ribosomal RNA". The record is from RNAcentral. Lineage: Eukaryota; Fungi; Basidiomycota; Agaricomycetes; Sebacinales; Sebacinaceae.